GACGAACGCUGGCGGCGUGCUUAACACAUGCAAGUCGAACGGAAAGGCCCUUCGGGGUACUCGAGUGGCGAACGGGUGAGUAACACGUGGGUGAUCUGCCCUGCACUUUGGGAUAAGCCUGGGAAACUGGGUCUAAUACCGAAUACACCUCAUUGGAUGCAUGUCUGGUGGGGGAAAGCUUUUGCGGUGUGGGAUGGGCCCGCGGCCUAUCAGCUUGUUGGUGGGGUGAUGGCCUACCAAGGCGACGACGGGUAGCCGGCCUGAGAGGGUGUCCGGCCACACUGGGACUGAGAUACGGCCCAGACUCCUACGGGAGGCAGCAGUGGGGAAUAUUGCACAAUGGGCGCAAGCCUGAUGCAGCGACGCCGCGUGGGGGAUGACGGCCUUCGGGUUGUAAACCCCUUUCAGUAGGGACGAAGCGCAAGUGACGGUACCUACAGAAGAAGGACCGGCCAACUACGUGC
This 464-nucleotide ribosomal RNA is filed under the name uncultured Mycobacteriaceae bacterium. RNAcentral describes it as "bacterial SSU rRNA". It matches the Rfam family "Bacterial small subunit ribosomal RNA", at positions 28 to 508 of the family's 1533-position model. Lineage: Bacteria; Bacillati; Actinomycetota; Actinomycetes; Mycobacteriales; Mycobacteriaceae. The record is from RNAcentral.